GGAGCGGGAGAUUGACAGGCGGAUUGGGGCAGCGUCAGCAGUGAUGCAGGCGCUUAACUGGUCCGUUGUGGUGAAGAGGGAGCUUAGCGAAAAAGCUAGACUCUCAAUUUACCGGUCGAUCUACGUUCCAACCCUCACCUAUGGUCACGAGCUCUGGGUAGUGACCGAAAGAAUGAGAUCACAAGUGCAAGCGGCCUAAAUGAGUUUCCUCCGCAGGGUGGCUGGGCUCAGCCUUAGAGAUAGGGUGAGGAGCUCGGACAUCCGGGAGGGACUUGGAGUAGAGCAGCUGCUCCUCCACAUCGAGAGGAGCCAGUUGAGGUGGUUCGGGCAUCUGGUAAGGAUGCCUUCCGGACGCCUCCCUUGGGAGGUGUUUCGGGCGUGUCCAACCGGGAGGAGACCUUGGGGCCACCCCAGGACACGCUGGAGGGACUACAUCACCCGGCUGGCCUGGGAAUGCCUCGGGGUUCCCGCGGAAGAGCUGACGGAAGUGGCUGGGGAGAGACGAGUACGAGUACGAGUAUGAGUACGAGUACGACUUUCAUAUAAACUUAUCAUGGACAGGACUGAGGAGCCGACCAUAUACGAGGGCUUGUUCCUGGCCAAGGAUGAGGAAGUUGAAACAUUUGUUGACCUUGUCAGGGGCAACAUGAGAAGUGUAAGAAAGAUUUGGUUUGUUUAUUACAAUAGUUUAUACAGCUUUUUAUUUGUUGUUGUUACUUCUUGUUUACAUGUCACAAUGUGUGUAUAAUGAAAUUACUUUAUAGGCAAAUGACAGUGUUGUUUGUGGUACUGCCAAGUUCACCGCUGGCAGAGAGACAUCCAAAAAGUCUGGUGCUCAGAUAGACAAGGAAGGCAUUCAAGUUGCAGUCUGCAGGUAUGUGUUUGUAAUAGUUUGUGUGUGUGUGUGUGUGUGUGUGUGUGUGUUCCGCUCUUGAGUCUGGUCUCAUUAUUUGAGUUUUAAUAGCAGCCCAAGUCUUAGUCUUUGUAAGACAGGAGGCAUUAAACACACAUUGGAAGCAUUAAACACUUUUGAUUGCGGAGUGUUAUUUAUCCAUCCUUUGUAGCAGUCAAGUAUUAUGUUUUGUUAUAGGCACCCAGAUGACAGAGAUGUGUGCUUGAGCCAGGCCUUGCGGGGUCAGCUGAUUUUUAACCACUACAUUUUCUUCUGAUUAAUCAGACAUGGGUUUCUCUUAUGAGGACUAAACCAUUAUCGCGGAGAAAUAUUUGCCUAUCCGAUGUUUCUUCAAAAAGAGAUGUCAAAGAAGGCAAAUGUUACCUUCUUCUGUAUGGAUGUCACAUGCAGGUACUGGCCCUACCUGAACAGAGUAGCAGAGGGGUUACCUGAGCUUCUGCCAUUGACAGAAAUGAGGCCAUUUCUUAGCGUCAUGCAUGCUAAAGCCCAUACAGCAAAAUGCGAGAGUGAACAUGCUGACACAACAAGCCAUGGGUUGGAACAGAAGAAAGAGGGACAACCUUCAUCAAGUGUUGACCCACAGAUAUGUCAAAGUCACAGAAAGGGCAAAGGUGGAAGCUACUAACCUCAGCAACAUCCAAAAGGAGCACAACCUUGAUCAGGAGACCAUACAGCAGUGGGUGUGUGAUGUCAGCCACUGGGCAGUCACAGAGAGAGUCUGUGCUCCAGGAUGUACUGAAGACCUCAGGGCUGAUAUUGAGAGCAUCACUGUAACCCUUUUGCGCAAGAAGCAAGAUCUGUAUUGUCAGCAUGAUAGCAACCAGGCAAGACAAAGAAAGCGAAAGAAAAUGACAGAGCUGAAGAAGAAGCUUCGUGAAAAGGUCUUGCAAUACAACACCAUAGCAGAAGAAGAUCAUAUUGAUGAGGAGUUGGCUUGCAGUCUGACAGGACUACAUCCUACCAUGGGAGAGACAUGGUGACGAAACGCUUGGAGGAGGAGCAGAGCAUCCUCGUGAAAGAGAUGUCUUGGCGCAUCAUAUAUCUUCUGAAGGAAGUGCAAGAAGUGGAGGCUCUCAGAGGACAGACUUUGGAGAGCAUCAAAACCAGCAUUCCUCUACAGAUUUUGGUGACCUGACAGAGGACAGUACACAUGGACUCUUCAGUGUCCUCAAUCGGAGGUGGCACUCACUCCAAAGUCAACACAAAAAGGCUGUAAAUGCGUACAGCGGUAUAGCCGCUAUGGAAUCAGAUCUACUCCAAAUACAGGAGAACAAUGAGGAGUGGGAUGACAGUGGCUUUACUAGCCCCGAGUCAGAGGAAGAAGACAUGUAAAGGCCGCUCAUGGAUGUAUUAUAAGACCUGGAUAAAAAACUAAAAAUGGUGCCCUAUAGGAGUUGCUCGGCUGGUGCAUACACCCAAACAAAUUUCUAGCUUCCAGGUUGUGCGGCCCACUAAAUAUGCACAGUAGUGUUCUAGUGUGCCUCCAAAUAAAAUGUGUUAUUAUUAUUAUUAUUAUUAUCAUUAUUAUUAUAAUUGACAUUGUUUGCAGUUCGAGGUGUCCUGUCAACAGUUUUACAGACGUAAAAUUAAAAUCUCAAUAAAAAUAAAUAAAUAAAAUAAUAAAAUCUCUAAAAUCUUAAAAUCUCCUAUAUUAGCUUACAGUUGGUGAGAUUAAAGAAUAAAAGAUAAAAAUAGUAUAAAAAUUAAAAGAUGAAAAGGAGAUCAAAGAUAAAAAUAUAAAUACAGUUUAUAUACAUAUUAUAUACAUAUGACAUAUAUAGUGUUAGUCAAUCAAUCAAUCAAUCAAUCAAUCAAUCAAUUUUAUUUAUAAAGCCCAAUAUCACAAAUCACAAUUUGCCUCACAGGGCUUUACAUACGACAUCCCUCUGUCCUUUGGACCCUCACAGCGGAUAAGGAAAAACUCCCCAAAAAAAACCCUUUAACAGGAAAAAAAAAAAAGAAAGAAAGGAAAGUGAAUAGAUGAUGUAAAACAGUUCGCAGAUCUGCAGCGUGAUUGUCUUAUGUUGAGAGUUCAAGGUGCAUUGAAUGACUCAUUUAUUGUUCAAUAUUCUGACUACAUGGGGCAGAAAGCUUCUCAUCAGUCACUGUACGUGCCUUUAGGUGCUUUGUCUAUAUCUUUUAUUUAUGUAACGCACUUUGACUUGCUAAUGUGUACAAAGUAAACUUUCCUUGCCUUUAUAUUAAACAAC
Epinephelus fuscoguttatus (brown-marbled grouper) is the source of this 3123-nucleotide long non-coding RNA. RefSeq lists it as uncharacterized. The record is from RefSeq and is a predicted model, not a curated record. The transcript has 8 exons. Lineage: Eukaryota; Metazoa; Chordata; Actinopteri; Perciformes; Serranidae.